ACUUGCAACGUUCACCAAUAAACUCAUCAUUCAAACCCGAGGUUAUGAAACACACAGACACAGCACAGUAUCAUUCAAUGAUGAAAUAAACACAAGGUCAUGGCAACUUGACUGACUGGGAGAAUGAAGUCCGCAACCCUUUUGAAUUGGGAAAUCAAGCUAAUCUGCUGCUAGAAUGGUUAUAGACAGCGUGCAAAUGGCAACAGAUGAGAAUUGAAAUACAUAAAUUCAAGCAAUAAUUCAUGGGACCAUCAUCACGUCCAUUCCAUUAGCAAGAAGGGCUAUAAAAUGAGACGUUAAGCUUCAGUAUUUGGAAGAGGAAUGAUUUCACUCACUCUAAUUAACUGGAAAGGAACUUAGAAGGCAUGGAUUUUGUGUCCGCGACAAACUUUCACCUAAUUAACAGUCGGCCAAAGUUAGCUACGUGGCAAUUUGCUUGCCAGGCAGAGGUGAAAAAUGUGUUUUUUUCUUCGAAAGAAGGUGAAAAAUGUGUUCUUUCUUAAGGAUGAGAUAAUUGAAAAUUUAAUUUUAGUGGUGAUUUCAACUAAAUGCCUCCCAAAAGAUUCAACAUCUUUGAAUUGGCUAAUUAGUUGAAACUACCAGAGUGUUUUCAUCCCAGAAAAACCAAUUGUAACUGUAUAGAAAGCAAAGCCAAUUAGCAAACACAAUCAAUUCGAACGGUGGACCUUCCCAAUCAGCUGAGCAUGAAAGACGAAAAAAAAAAAAAAGAAUCGACUCCGCUGGGGAUCGAACCCAGAAUCUCUGGUUCCGUAGACCAGCGCCUUAUCCAUUGGGCCACGGAGUCCUUCUGGUUUUAUACCUGAAAGUAGAAAUAUGGAACAUAAGCCUGAAGCCAGCUUUCCAAAAACCCAAUUCAUCCCAUAAAUUACCACUCUCACCCCCAGUCCGGGUUUCUUUUACACGCAUCGCCUGUGUUCAAUUUAAUACAGGCCCAACUCCAGAGGCGUCCAAGCUACAGAUAGCGUCCUAGACACAGGCAAAGCACAAGAACUGGAGGCCCCAAGAUGAGGAAUUAGACUGCAAUUGCACUUGUGAUAAAAUUCCAUUUGGAAUCAACAGACAAACUUCGGCCCUGGAAAAUGCCCCUUCAAAGUGGCUUAAUGACCAGUUAGCUCUUGAACAAGCUUCUUGAAGGUUCUGGAGAGACUGAUAGAGAGCCCAGCAGACCACAGACUGGGUGAGGUCACAGAUCUGCAUAGAGUCAGAGUCACCUCUCAUCUGCAAUUCAUCAGUGGUAGGACCUUUAGGUUCUUUUUGAAAUUUAGUUUUUGCAUUUUGUAAUAGGUAGUAGUUUGUGAUUUGUAAAUUAUGAACUCAUGUAAAUAAUAAAUUUAUGUAAUCAUAUGUUGAUGUACAUAUUUUGUAAAAUUUUGUUAAUUAAUAUAAUUUGAGAAUAUCUUCAUGAAAUUAAA
Molecule: long non-coding RNA, 1433 nt
Organism: Hevea brasiliensis (rubber tree)
Lineage: Eukaryota; Viridiplantae; Streptophyta; Magnoliopsida; Malpighiales; Euphorbiaceae
Exons: 3
Source: RefSeq, a predicted model, not a curated record